Molecule: ribosomal RNA, 468 nt
Filed under: uncultured bacterium
Lineage: Bacteria
Description: partial 16S ribosomal RNA
Rfam family: Bacterial small subunit ribosomal RNA
Source: RNAcentral
GACGAACGCUGGCGGCGUGCUUAACACAUGCAAGUCGAACGGAAAGGCCCUGCUUUUGUGGGGUGCUCGAUUGGCGAACGGGUGAGUAACACGUGAGUAACCUGCCCUUGACUUUGGGAUAACUUCAGGAAACUGGGGCUAAUACCGGAUAGGAGCUCCUGCUGCAUGGUGGGGGUUGGAAAGUUUCGGCGGUUGGGGAUGGACUCGCGGCUUAUCAGCUUGUUGGUGGGGUAGUGGCUUACCAAGGCUUUGACGGGUAGCCGGCCUGGGAGGGUGACCGGCCACAUUGGGACUGAGAUACGGCCCAGACUCCUACGGGAGGCAGCAGGGGGGAAUAUUGCACAAUGGGCGGAAGCCUGAUGCAGCAACGCCGCGUGCGGGAUGACGGCCUUCGGGUUGUAAACCGCUUUCGCCUGUGACGAAGCGUGAGUGACGGUAAUGGGUAAAGAAGCACCGGCUAACUACGUG